RNAcentral lists this unclassified non-coding RNA (194 nucleotides) under plant metagenome. RNAcentral's name for it is "partial contains small subunit ribosomal RNA, internal transcribed spacer 1, and 5.8S ribosomal RNA". The record is from RNAcentral.
UUUCCGUAGGUGAACCUGCGGAAGGAUCAUUACAGAGUUCAUCCCCGAAAGGGCACUACUCCCACCCUUGUGUAUUCUUACUUUGUUGCUUUGGCGAGCGCAAUCUCGCCAGAGAAUACCAAAGCUCUUUUUAUUAAUGUCGUCCGAGUACUAUAUAAUAGUUAAAACUUUCAACAACGGAUCUCUUGGUUCUG